AUUGGAGGGCAAGUCUGGUGCCAGCAGCCGCGGUAAUUCCAGCUCCAAAAGCGUAUAUUAAAGUUGUUGCAGUUAAAAAGCUCGUAGUUGAACCUUGGGCUUGGCUGGCCGGUCCAUCUUUUUGAUGCGUACUGGACCCAGCCGAGCCUUUCCUUCUGGGUAGCCAUUUAUGGCGAACCAGGACUUUUACUUUGAAAAAAUUAGAGUGUUCAAAGCAGGCCUUUGCUCGAAUAUAUUAGCAUGGAAUAAUAGAAUAGGACGUUAUGGUUCUAUUUUGUUGGUUUCUAGGACCAUCGUAAUGAUUAAUAGGGACGGUCGGGGGUAUCAGUAUUCAGUUGUCAGAGGUGAAAUUCUUGGAUUUACUGAAGACUAACUACUGCGAAAGCAUUUACCAAGGACGUUUUCAUUAAUCAAGAACGAAAGUUAGGGGAUCGAAGAUGAUCAGAUACCGUCGUAGUCUUAACCAUAAACUAUGCCGACUAGGGAUCGG
RNAcentral lists this ribosomal RNA (490 nucleotides) under Candida albicans. Its description in RNAcentral is "SSU rRNA". It matches the Rfam family "Eukaryotic small subunit ribosomal RNA", at positions 547 to 1056 of the family's 1831-position model. Lineage: Eukaryota; Fungi; Ascomycota; Pichiomycetes; Serinales; Debaryomycetaceae. The record is from RNAcentral.